Long non-coding RNA from Carassius carassius (crucian carp), 495 nucleotides. RefSeq lists it as uncharacterized. Lineage: Eukaryota; Metazoa; Chordata; Actinopteri; Cypriniformes; Cyprinidae. The record is from RefSeq and is a predicted model, not a curated record. The transcript has 2 exons.
CGCUCUGCGCAUGCGCUGAAGUAUAAACAGGUAACAGGUGAACAUGCGAGUCAGAAUCAUAGACUGUAUGGGUCAGAAUAUAAUAUUUAGAGUUCAUAUGAACAACUUUACUGUAUCUGAACUCGGACUGGAUUCAUUCAGAUAAACCAAAAUUAGAGUAUGUUAGGGUUAUGCGACGUUGUCACCUCGUGGCCACGUUGAACCCAUAACAAACGUGUCGUCCACACAAAUAUUCUGCUAUUUAACGUAAACGUUAAAUAACGUUUUAAUAAAACCGAUAAUCGAUCACAAAACAUUAUUAGUGAGGGAAGCGGUGAUGACUAGACAUCAAAUAUGAGCACCUGUGUUGUCUUUUUAUAUUAAUACAUAAUUCCGAUUCAUGUAAAUCUUUAAGCAACGUGUUAUGGACGUCGAGUCGACCACUUAUAUAUUUAACAGUUGCUAAAUGUGAUACCAGGAACACAAUUGUACCAAUAAAUAUAGAUAUGUUUUCUU